RNAcentral lists this ribosomal RNA (696 nucleotides) under Triticum aestivum (bread wheat). RNAcentral's name for it is "partial small subunit ribosomal RNA". The record is from RNAcentral. Lineage: Eukaryota; Viridiplantae; Streptophyta; Magnoliopsida; Poales; Poaceae.
AUGCCUCGUUAUAUUGUGUCAGAUAGGGACCCUGUGUUCACUAGCAAGUUUUGGCAGGCAUUGGUGAGAAGGACAGGAGUUGUUCUUAACAUGAGAACAGCCUAUCACCCUGAAACAGAUGGUCAAACAGAGCGUGUCAAUCAGCAAGUGGAAUGCUUCCUGAGAUGUUUCAUCAGCGCUCACCCCAAGAAAUGGGCAAAGUGGAUUUCUCUUUGUGAGUUCUGGUACAAUACAAAUUGGCAUUCAACACUCAAUAAAUCUCCUUUUGAGGUCCUUUAUGGCCAUAGUCCUAGACACUUUGGUAUUUCAGCUUCGGAUGCAGUCGAUCCUGUUGAUCUGCAACAAUGGUUGGAUGCCAGGGAAGUGGUGCAACAGUCAGUGCGCCAGCAUCUGUUGCGUGUUCAACAGAGAAUGAAACAGCAAGCUGACAAGAAACGCACGGAGAGAACAUUUGCUGUGGGUGAUCGCGUGUUCCUCAAACUCCAGCCGUAUGUGCAGUCAUCUGUGGCACACAGAGCAAAUCACAAACUUGCCUUCAAAUAUUUUGGACCGUUUUUUAUUCUUGAGAAGAUCGGGGCAGUGGCCUACCGCUUACAGUUGCCAACAUGUAGCCGUAUUCAUCCAGUUUUUCAUGUGUCGCAGUUGAAGCAAUGUGUGCAGCCACACCAGGAGGUAUUCAGGUUGCUUCCUUUGGCU